GGCUAACGGCCGAAGGAGUGGUGAGGGCAGCUCCUCUCAAAAAGGAGAACGGGAGAGUGUGAAGUGUCGCGUUCAUCGAUUUUCCUCUUAAGAGUGAGGAAUCAGUCAGUAACGAUGGACUCCCAGAAAACAGCUUUAGUGACAUCUUUUGAAAUAGCAAAGGAAGAGCAAGAUGAACGUGCCUUUCAGGAAGAGGAAAACAAUGAUCCCAGUGGCUCUGAGGACGAUGUCGGGGAAGCUGAUAUUAGCAAGAUUGUUUGUGCAAA
Long non-coding RNA from Ornithorhynchus anatinus (platypus), 266 nucleotides. RefSeq lists it as uncharacterized. Lineage: Eukaryota; Metazoa; Chordata; Mammalia; Monotremata; Ornithorhynchidae. The transcript is spliced from 3 exons. The record is from RefSeq and is a predicted model, not a curated record.